UACCAAACAAGCUUCUCUGCUAUUAAUGGGGAGUCGUGUGGCACAUAGUGAGGCCCUGGGAAGGCGAAUGAAAACAGUGAACUGGCAUAACCCCUGAACCAUUGACUCAUAUUACAUCACAGGAGCCUUCAAAGCUACUGCCCACAUCUGAUUCAUUUGCCACACGAGAAUUAUCUGUUUUUGUGGGAGAAUUCCCUCUGUGCUUCCAUAAAAAAGCAUGAUGAGGUCCAAGAAUUCUCCUUCCUGCCAGCCCAGCUUCAUCAGGAAGGCUUAAGAAGACCCAUCUUGAAAUCCUCACUGUGAACACCAUGGAGUGUAAUGAGAAAUCCAAAACAGGGCCGGUCUCUGAUGUGUGUGAACUUCAUGACAGAGGCUACAGAGGAACUGAACAGCACUGCAGUCAUUCUUACUGCAGCCACACUCAUAUAAAUCAAGAGUAAAUAAUAAAAAAUUAAUAGAACUA
Molecule: long non-coding RNA, 463 nt
Organism: Pseudopipra pipra
Lineage: Eukaryota; Metazoa; Chordata; Aves; Passeriformes; Pipridae
Exons: 3
Source: RefSeq, a predicted model, not a curated record